AUGGGGGCGAGGCAUAGCAUGGGAGAAAUGGUGGAGCCGCCGCCUGCUCCAGACGCUGUGGGUGGCAGAGAGGAGGCGCGCCAUUCGAGGAAGUCGCCGCACCGGCCACACGGAGGCGCUGGUCCCGGGAGAAGAGUGUUGCGCCGGGGGGAGGAAGCUGGGUGGGGACGGCACCAUUGGGCGGGUGGAGGGUUGCAGGGGGGCUGGGGUAGUAUAGUGGUGGUCGAGGGGGUUGCCGAAGUGGGAUCGAGGGAAGAAGGUGGAAGGGGAUAUGCGGAGAAGAAGGUGGACAGGGAUUGGUGUGACGCGGGGGAAGAAGGUGAGGUUGGUCGGGUGGUUGUUACUGUUAGCAGAAUAAGUUUAGGUAGUUUAGGUGUUAGCAGAAUAAGGGUCUUAAGGGAUGUUAGUAGAAUAGACCCAUCCUAUAUAUACUAA
RNAcentral lists this ribosomal RNA (435 nucleotides) under Triticum aestivum (bread wheat). RNAcentral describes it as "partial small subunit ribosomal RNA". Lineage: Eukaryota; Viridiplantae; Streptophyta; Magnoliopsida; Poales; Poaceae. The record is from RNAcentral.